Molecule: ribosomal RNA, 253 nt
Filed under: uncultured bacterium
Lineage: Bacteria
Description: partial 16S ribosomal RNA
Rfam family: Bacterial small subunit ribosomal RNA
Source: RNAcentral
GACAGAGGUGCCGAGCGUUAGGCGGAAUCACUGGGCUUAAAGCGUGUGUAGGCGGGCCCGUAAGUGUCUUGUGAAAUCCCACGGCUCAACCGUGGAACUGCUGGGCAUACUGCGGGUCUUGAGCGGCCUAGGGGCAGACGGAACAAGUGGUGGAGCGGUGAAAUGCGUAGAUAUCAGGAAGAACACCCGUGGCGAAAGCGGCUCUCUGGAACGGUACUGACGCUGAGACGCGAAAGCGUGGGGAGCGAACAGG